UGAAGUUAAAAAAAAUAAUUGAAAUCAGUGACCCACCAACAUUAAACACAGAAGAGAGAGCGCAGCUACUCACCCCACCUUCUCCAUCGUCGGACAGUCGCCGGCGUCAUUUACUGUCAUCGUCGCCUCACCUCUGCUCACGGUUGCUAGCUUACGUCUCUGUUCCGCACUUGUCUUCUUUGCAGCAAGACUUCUAGGGCUUUCAGUUGCACACUCCUUAUCGUUUUUUGGGCUCUUUCCUUCAAAUCCACCUUUUUCCCUUUUCUUUCUCAACAAGACUUCAUCGAUGUAGUAUGCAGUGCACAGAGUCACACCACCACUCUCUCUUCUCUUUACUUUCUGGUUUCCUUCCUUACACUUUUUAUUCCAAAAACUUGCUUUUUCUCAUAUACUCUAGUAAUUGCAGGUUUUUCGUACUUUGCUGAUGGUCAUUGGAUUUAUUCUCUCAAGUGGAGGAGAUAGUUGCCUGGUUCUAUUCCAUUGAAAAAAUAAGUGAAUUUAGCAAGGUGUGGCUUUAGCUUCUAGAAUAUUUGGAAUUCGAUUCAAUUUAGGGGAAGGAUGGGAUUGUGGCCAAUUUCUAUAGUCUUCAUUCAUGGAUGGGUUUGAUUUGCACUUUCCUCUUUGGAACAAAGAAGAAGGACGAGCUACAUUGACGAGUGAUAAACACAUGGCUUCUUCCUCUUCCUCUCCAGCACCGUUACAGACUACUAUGCUUCUUGGUUCGCCUAGUUUCCCAAACGCCAUUGCUUGGUCCCAAGACAACCUCUUGCUGUUGCUACCGCCCACUUCGUUACCAUUCUUAGACCAGACAUGCCUCAUGGACCACGUGGAAUAAUCAAAAUCUCUCCAAUUGAGCCAUUCCUCUUUGGCUUUGUUGAAAGAAAAGAUUUAAUCUCUGGAUGCCUCCUCCCUAUUAGUUUGUACCGUGAUGAUAAGCCUGUUGUUCAGUCAAUAUCAUGGUCGCCACUUGGCAUUUCUUUGAAUUCAGGGUAAGAAUUUGAUGAUUAGCAAGCAAAGAUGC
This is a long non-coding RNA of Arachis stenosperma, 1021 nucleotides long. RefSeq lists it as uncharacterized. The transcript has 5 exons. Lineage: Eukaryota; Viridiplantae; Streptophyta; Magnoliopsida; Fabales; Fabaceae. The record is from RefSeq and is a predicted model, not a curated record.